Molecule: unclassified non-coding RNA, 306 nt
Filed under: plant metagenome
Description: partial contains 5.8S ribosomal RNA, internal transcribed spacer 2, and large subunit ribosomal RNA
Rfam family: 5.8S ribosomal RNA (bases 1-105)
Source: RNAcentral
GAAAUGCGAUAAGUAAUGUGAAUUGCAGAAUUCAGUGAAUCAUCGAAUCUUUGAACGCACAUUGCGCCCGCCAGUAUUCUGGCGGGCAUGCCUGUCCGAGCGUCAUUUCAACCAUCAAGCCCCCGGGCUUGUGUUGGGGACCUGCGGCUGCCCGCAGGCCCUGAAAACCAGUGGCGGGCUCGCUGUCACACCGAGCGUAGUAGCAAUCACCUCGCUCAGGGCGUGCUGCGGGUUCCGGCCGUUAAACAGCCCUACAAAACCCAAGGUUGACCUCGGAUCAGGUAGGAAGACCCGCUGAACUUAAGC